RNAcentral lists this unclassified non-coding RNA (21 nucleotides) under Dictyostelium discoideum. The record is from RNAcentral. Lineage: Eukaryota; Evosea; Eumycetozoa; Dictyosteliales; Dictyosteliaceae.
UACCCGUUCCGCUAUGGCUUC